GUCAAGCUUCCCUUGUUGGCUGCUUACUGCAUUACACAUCGAACAAUACUUACUGAGUUUGUCUACUUACCAGCCGAAUCACAGAAGGAAACAAUAGCAGAAGAUCUAAUGGAAUGCAAUUUUGACGUUUGAGAAAACUUGCUAUCAUUGGCAUAUUGAUGAUUAACCCCCUUCUCCAAAUCUUUGUUUCCAGUAUCAGACUUUUUUUUGUGGUGUGUUGAAGAGAAGUCCUAAAUGCAUACUGAGAAAAUUAC
This is a non-coding RNA of Pelobates cultripes (western spadefoot toad), 254 nucleotides long. The record is from the annotation of a GenBank genome assembly. NCBI's taxonomy places the organism in Eukaryota, Metazoa, Chordata, Amphibia, Anura, Pelobatidae.